GAUGAACGCUGGCGGCGUGCCUAAUACAUGCAAGUCGAGCGAACAGACGAGGAGCUUGCUCCUCUGACGUUAGCGGCGGACGGGUGGGUAACACGUGGAUAACCUACCUAUAAGACUGGGAUAACUUCGGGAAACCGGAGCUAAUACCGGAUAAUAUAUUGAACCGCAUGGUUCAAUAGUGAAAGACGGUUUUGCUGUCACUUAUAGAUGGAUCCGCGCCGCAUUAGCUAGUUGGUAAGGUAACGGCUUACCAAGGCAACGAUGCGUAGCCGACCUGAGAGGGUGACCGGCAACACUGGAACUGAGACACGGCCCAGACUCCUACGGGAGGCGGCAUUUGGGAAUCUUCGGCAAUGGGCGAAAUCCUGACGGAGAAACGCGGCGUGAGUGAUGAAGGUCUUCGGAUCGUAAAACUCUGUUAUUAGGAAAGAACAAAUGUGUAAGUAACUAUGCACGUCUUGACGGUACCUAAUCAGAAAGCCACGGCUAACUACGUG
RNAcentral lists this ribosomal RNA (497 nucleotides) under uncultured bacterium. RNAcentral's name for it is "partial 16S ribosomal RNA". It matches the Rfam family "Bacterial small subunit ribosomal RNA", at positions 28 to 507 of the family's 1533-position model. The record is from RNAcentral.